Molecule: ribosomal RNA, 253 nt
Filed under: uncultured bacterium
Lineage: Bacteria
Description: partial 16S ribosomal RNA
Rfam family: Bacterial small subunit ribosomal RNA
Source: RNAcentral
UACGAAGGGGGCUAGCGUUGUUCGGAAUUACUGGGCGUAAAGCGCACGUAGGCGGGCUGAUUAGUUGGUGGUGAAAUCCCAGAGCUCAACUCUGGAACUGCCAUCAAUACUGUCAGCCUGGAGCAUAGUAGAGGUUAGUGGAAUUCCAAGUGUAGAGGUGAAAUUCGUAGAUAUUUGGAGGAACACCAGUGGCGAAGGCGACUGACUGGGCUAUUGCUGACGCUGAGGUGCGAAAGCGUGGGGAGCAAACAGG